Molecule: non-coding RNA, 45 nt
Filed under: Schistosoma mansoni
Lineage: Eukaryota; Metazoa; Platyhelminthes; Trematoda; Strigeidida; Schistosomatidae
Source: RNAcentral
GGAUGCUGAGGAGUCCAACAAUAGGACAAAACGGCCGUCCAGUGC